Candidatus Roizmanbacteria bacterium is the source of this 1515-nucleotide non-coding RNA. The record is from Rfam. Lineage: Bacteria; Candidatus Roizmaniibacteriota.
UUUUUUAAGAGUUUGAUCCUGGCUCAGGAUUAAUGCUAGCGGUGUGCCUAAGAUAUGCAAGUCGAACGAUCCCGGUGCAAAUCGGGGAAGUGGCGGACGGCUGAGUAAUACGUACGAAGUUACCCUUACCUCGUGAAUACCCCCGCGAAAGCGGGGCUAAUACACGAUAUUUCCUGCCCUAAAAAGCGUGGAAAAAGGACAUAACUUUCCGGGUAAGGAGAUGCGUACGGACUAUCAGGUAGUUGGUAGGGUAACGGCCUACCAAGCCUAUGACGGUUAUCCGGCUCGUGAUGAGUGACCGGACAGAGGAGCACUGAGAUACGGGCUCCACACCUACGGGUGGCAGCAAUCGGGAAUAGUUGGCAAUGGGCGAAAGCCUGACCACGCGACACCGCGUGUAGGAAGAAGUUCUUAUUGAGCGUAAACUACUGUGGUAGGGGAUAAAGUCCCGCUUUAGGGCGGGAUUGAUAGUACCUUACUAGAAAGUGACCGCUAAUUGCGUGCCAGCAGCGGCGGUAAUACGUGAGUCACAAGCAUUAUCCGGUGUUACUGGGCGUAAAGUGUGUGUAGGUGUCCUGUUAAGUUUUUGUUCAAAGACCUUGGCUUACCCAAGGACAGGGCGAAAAAACUGGCAGGAUUGAGUUUUCUUUAGGGGAACCGGAAUUUAUGGAGUAGCAGUGAAAUGCGUUGAUACCAUAAAGAACACCAGUGGCGAAGGCGGGUUCCUGAAAGUUAACUGACACUGAGACACGAAAGCUAGGGGAGCGAACCGGAUUAGAGACCCGGGUAGUCCUAGCUGUAAACGAUGCUCGCUAGCUGCAUUUCUUGCUUUAUUGCAUGAGGUGUGGCGAAGUCAACACAUUAAGCGAGCCGCCUGGGAAGUACGGUCGCAAGACUGAAACUCAAAGGAAUUGGCGGGGAGACACCCAACUAGUGGAUCAUGUGGUUUAAUUCGAUACGAACCGAAGAACCUCACCAGGGUUCGACAUGUAAUGGACAGCCUGAUGAAAGUCAGGCCUUUCCGCAAGGAACUGUUACAAAGCUGUUGCAUGGCUGUCGUCAGUUCGUUCCGUGAGGAGUGCCCUUAAGUGGGACAACGAACGCAACCUUUGUCCUGAGUUAUAUAUGUCUCAGGAGACUGGUCCGAUAUAUAUCGGACAGGAAGGAGAAGCAGACGUCAAGUCAGCAUGACGCCUAUGCCCUGGGCUACACACAUGAUACAAUGAGUCGUAACAAUGGGCUGCCAAUCGGUAACGAGGAGCAAAUCCCAUCAAACCGGCUCUCAGUGGGGAUUGAGGUCUGCAACCCGACCUCAUGAACACGGAAUUAGUAGUAAUCGCGGAUCAGCUAUGCCGCGGUGAAUACGUUCUUGUCUCUUGCACACACUGCCCGUCAAGCCAACAAAGUCGGAGGUACCCGAAUUCUAAUGAACUUUGGAAGAGGGUAAAAUCGGCGAUGGGGGCUAAGUCGUAACAAGGUACCCGUUCUGGAAGGAGUGGGUGAAUCACCUCCUUU